Molecule: ribosomal RNA, 230 nt
Filed under: uncultured bacterium
Lineage: Bacteria
Description: partial 16S ribosomal RNA
Rfam family: Bacterial small subunit ribosomal RNA
Source: RNAcentral
CGGGGUGGAGUAAUGUCUGGGAAACUGCCUGAUGAGGGGGAGUAACUACUGGAAACGGUAGCUAAUACCGCAUAACGUCGCAAGACCAAAGUGGGGGACCUUCGGGCCUCAUGCCAUCAGAUGUGCCCAGAUGGGAUUAGCUAGUAGGUGGGGUAACGGCUCACCUAGGCGACGACCCCUAGCUGGUCUGAGAGGAUGACCAGCCACACUGGAACUGAGACACGGUCCAG